This 2189-nucleotide unclassified non-coding RNA is filed under the name Leishmania donovani. RNAcentral's name for it is "gene:unknown". Lineage: Eukaryota; Euglenozoa; Kinetoplastea; Trypanosomatida; Trypanosomatidae. The record is from RNAcentral.
ACAUCCCUUUGCCAAGACUCGACUCUCUUUCGCUCUCACACCCCUCCCACACUCGCCCCCCGCCUCCCUCCUCGUCAGCUCUGUCGCGCCAUCUCGACCCCCUGUGCCAUCGCUUCUCCUGCCCAUCUCCGCCUCACCUCUCUCACAUUUGUUUGCCGGGAGAUCAGAAAAAUGGCUUUUAAACUUGCCCUUGUUGUAUACGUGGUCCUCCAGUUCCUCGCCUUCUUUUCGUUGCUGGUGGGUAUACCGCUUGACAUGUUUCGCAUUGAUCCCUCGAUCCGUUUGGCGGCCGUGUUUGCGUGACGUUAUGGGGCGCAAAGCCGGACUGCAGGAAUGUCAAAGUAGGCAUUGACGUGGACACCCGGUGGAGGUAUUGCCCGACGCGCGUCAAACGUUUUCAUGUUGCUCAGGCGUUUGCUGUGAUCUCCGUCUUUGUGUACGGCGCAGCGUUCCUUUUUGGCUUGUUUUUGCUGUGGUGCUGCUCUGCCUUUCGCUGGGUCUGCCUGGCCCUCAACAUCGUCGGCAUCGGCACCGUGUGCGUCGUCUGGGUGCUGAUGGUGAAGGUCUACAACACAGAGGGAGAGAAGUGCUUGGCUCUGAGAAGAGACUACGUGUUUGGUGCCGGUUUCGGUCUCUUUUUGUUUGCCUGGGUGCUGGAUAUCAUCGACAUCUUCUUCUUGCUGCUGCCAUUAGAGGCCAAGCAGGACAGUGAGAGUACAAAGUCGGACGACUACCGAGAACAGGAGUAGGCAGCCAAGAGCGGAAGGAGGCGGGGUGCGCUGCUGCAGUGUAUGGGAGGGUCUGCUGCCUUGCUCAUGGCAGAACGACACGUGGCCAAAAAAGUCGAGUUUGUUUUCACACGGUCUCUCCCCGGUGUGUCUCUUUUCGUCCUUCUGUGCUUUCUUCAUUUUUGCUGUUUUCAUCGGUACCGCGAUCUGCCCUUUGUGGUGAGCAACGCACGCAUGGCACCGACAAGCCCGCCCAUGCCCCCUUCCCCCUCUCUGCCCCUCGCCUUCACUAUCUCCUCGACAUCGCCCCCCUCCCGCUCACCCGACGCACCUUUGCGAAGUGAAGAAGCAAAGGACGCAGCAAGAUGCCCACACGGUCGCCGCAGGCCGGAGAAUCAGCGGGGGGGGAGGGGAGGAGAGAGGAGAGCGGGCAAAACGGAGGGGGCAGGCAAACGCAAAGGCGGGCGGGGGAAACCGAUGCCCUCGCGCGAAGGACGGGAAACGCAGCGCCACGCCGCAUCGGUCACCCGCCUCCGUCCCACCCCCAUCCAUACCCCAUAGCUGAGAUCGCGCGUCUUUCUGGCGCUUCUCUCUCGCGUGCCCUUUGGCCCUCGUCGCUGCCUCUCCUCCCUCACACACGCCUCAUGGACUACUUGAACGGAGAAGGGCGAGGGGCGGGGGGGGGCGAGGCGCCACAGGGGGUGGCUGCAGGGGGGCGGGGUAGGAAUCAGGCAAGCUGAUGAGCAAGCGCACCGGGGAGGCCAGAGGACAGCGUCUGUGCGCACAGCAGCGGCGCACAGAUGCAUGCACGAACCAGGAGAAACGAUGACAGCACUCGCUCCUCCUCUUUCUGUGCUCCUCAUGCACGGUGCGUGCGCGUGCACAAGAGGACACCCCCACCGUGCAAGGGCGUGUGGGGUCGGGGGAGGCAGCGGAGGAGAGGGCAAGACGGACUGGGGAAGGAGGGAAGCUCUCUGAGGCAUGAAGGCCGACCAUACGUCGGGCAUACGUGCGUCACGUGUGCGCAUGCUCGUGCGUGUGGGCGCGUGCACCCUUGUGACCCCGCUCCCCCUCCCAUGAGUGUCGCGCUCCACGUUGCCCUUCUCUUGCUGCUGCGGCUCUCCCGUGCUCCUGGAACUCACAGGAGGACACCAAAAAGCACCACGACGACACGGAGAAGAAAAUCGAGCACCGCCUCGAUCUCCUCUGCUGUCGUGGUUUUCUUUUCUCGCUUCUGUUGUUUGCAGCUUGCUGCCCCGCGUUUUCGUUUUCUUUGUCGUUUUCAUUAUUAUUUUUUCUUUCUGUCGCUUCUCGCUUUCUUCUCUCGUUCCUCCGCAGAAACUUCGUAUGGACUUGUGCGUGCGUGUGCCUCUCUGCCUUUUCUCUCUUGUUGUCGUUGUGCGCUGCUGCCCUUGUUUCUGUUUCGCUCUGUGCGCAGGCGACAGGCUGAUGGAGAGGAUG